Molecule: ribosomal RNA, 386 nt
Filed under: uncultured Clostridium sp.
Lineage: Bacteria; Bacillati; Bacillota; Clostridia; Eubacteriales; Clostridiaceae
Description: bacterial SSU rRNA
Rfam family: Bacterial small subunit ribosomal RNA
Source: RNAcentral
UGGGGAAUAUUGGGCAAUGGGCGAAAGCCUGACCCAGCAACGCCGCGUGAAGGAAGAAGGCUUUCGGGUUGUAAACUUCUUUUAUCAGGGACGAAGGAUGUGACGGUACCUGAUGAAUAAGCCACGGCUAACUACGUGCCAGCAGCCGCGGUAAUACGUAGGUGGCAAGCGUUGUCCGGAUUUACUGGGUGUAAAGGGCGCGUAGGCGGAGAGACAAGUCAGAUGUGAAAUCUAUGGGCUUAACCCAUAAACUGCAUUUGAAACUAUCUCCCUUGAGUGAUGGAGAGGCAAGCGGAAUUCCUAGUGUAGCGGUGAAAUGCGUAGAUAUUAGGAGGAACACCAGUGGCGAAGGCGGCUUGCUGGACAUUAACUGACGCUGAGGCGCG